GACGAACGCUGGCGGCGUGCUUAACACAUGCAAGUCGAACGGAAAGGCCCUGCUUUUGUGGGGUGCUCGAGUGGCGAACGGGUGAGUAACACGUGAGUAACCUGCCCUUGACUUUGGGAUAACUUCUGGAAACUGGGGCUAAUACCGGAUAGGAGCUCCUGCUGCAUGGUGGGGGUUGGAAAGUUUCGGCGGUUGGGGAUGGACUCGCGGCUUAUCAGCUUGUUGGUGGGGUAGUGGCUUACCAAGGCUUUGACGGGUAGCCGGCCUGAGAGGGUGACCGGCCACAUUGGGACUGAGAUACGGCCCAGACUCCUACGGGAGGCAGCAGUGGGGAAUAUUGCACAAUGGGCGGAAGCCUGAUGCAGCAACGCCGCGUGCGGGAUGACGGCCUUCGGGUUGUAAACCUCUUUCAGCAGGGAAGAAGCGAAAGUGACGGUACCUGCAGAAGAAGCACCGGCUAACUACGUG
This 468-nucleotide ribosomal RNA is filed under the name uncultured bacterium. RNAcentral describes it as "partial 16S ribosomal RNA". It matches the Rfam family "Bacterial small subunit ribosomal RNA", at positions 28 to 507 of the family's 1533-position model. The record is from RNAcentral.